Molecule: long non-coding RNA, 4408 nt
Filed under: Sus scrofa (pig)
Lineage: Eukaryota; Metazoa; Chordata; Mammalia; Artiodactyla; Suidae
Description: lncRNA (ENSSSCG00065044928.1)
Source: RNAcentral
UUUUUUUUUUUUUGCUAUUUCUGGUAUAAUAAAAAUCAAUAUUUUGUUUAACUGUGAUCUCAUUCUUAUUAUCUUGCUACUAUUUUAUCACUAUAAGUAUAUGUAUCUUUAGGAGUUCCCGCUGAGGCACAAUGGGAUUGGCAGCAUCUCUGCAGUGCUGGGAUGCAGGUUUAAUCCGUGGCCCUGCAGAUUGGGUUAGGGAUCUGGCAUUGCCGUAGCUGCAGUGUGGCUUGGAUUUGAUCCCUGGCCCAGCAAUGCCAUAUGCCUCAGGGCAACCAAAAAAGAAAAAAAAAUUUUUUUUUGAAAAGCAUAUGUAUUUUUAAAUAUUUAGUAAUAUUUGUUGCAUGCAUGUAGGUAUAUGAAAAUAUAUAUUUAAAUUUUUUUCUCUUAUUAUUUAAUUUAAUUUCUGUCUCGAGGCUCGCAUGUUUUUUACUCAAAGACUUCGGCCACUGUAGGCAUCUUUUUUCCCUGUAAAGCCCUAUGUUCUAUGAUCGCACAUUUACCUCCUGGAAGAAUUUUAUGACCCUUUCUUUUGGUGUUUGCAAAGAACCACUGUAUUUUCUGUCGCAGAAACCCAAUUCCACAGUCCUAACACUGCCGACCAUUUCUUUUCUUUCUGUUUGUUUUUUUUACAGCCACACCUGUGGCAUUUGGAAGUUCCCAGGCUAGGGGUUGAAUCAGAGCUGCGGCUGCCAGCCUACACCACAGCCACAGCAGCACUGGAUCCGAACCACAUCUGCAACCUAUGCUGCUGCCGUUUGCGGCAACUUAACCCCCUGAGCGAGGCCAGGGAUCCAACCCGAAUCCUCAUGGAGACAACCUCAGGUCCUUAACCUAUGAGCUGCAGCAGGAGCUCCCAGGUCAUCCUUGCUUUUCACUUCUCUUUUUUAAAUCAUCAUUUCUAAGGGGCAAAACAAAGGCUGGACGAGAGAGGGGGAGAAUCACAAAUGAAAUUGUCAUGAAGGGCAGCAUCACAGAGGAGAGGUGGUGAGGGGCCCACCUGUGCUGGGGCCCCCCCUGGUGGCACUGGAGGAAACUCGAAGAUCGAGGUGGGCUUGUAUGGCCUUGGGGCUUCAAAAGAGUCACUGGGACACCCCAAGCUGCCCUUUCCAGCAGCCUUCAUCCUCCUGUGCUGUUCCCUGCGAACGUGGUACUGAUGGCUCAGGCCCUGCCAUUCACACUGAUGCCAGGGCCACAGAGCCUGUGGGGCUGGUUACGGGGGCCCGAGGGCAGGAUUCGAGGUCCUGCUUUGGGAGGAGAGGGUCUCAGCCCCGUAAUCCUCUCUGAACCCACCCUGGACACUCAGCCCCUGCCAGGUGCGGUCAUCGCCUCCCCCCACCCUAUUCCAUCUCUCUCCAGCUGAACCCCUGAGUCGGCCCCUCUCAGAAUCCUCCCACCGAUGAUUCUGGACCAAAUUCAAGGCUUGAAGCAGGAAGGCCCUUCACUCACAAAGAAGAAAGGCUUUCUGUCUGCGUCUCUCUUGCUCGACAUGCUUGUCUCAAAGCUCCCGGGGGGCAAGGGACAUCCCCCCAAAAUGGGUUUAUUCCAGGCGGUGCUGCACUUUUUCUCCCCCGUAUUCAUAAUCGGGGGGGAAGCGUUUCCCUGCUUUCUGUACGCCUUGUGCUCUGGAGGAGAGAUGCCAGGGCCUGGCGCUGUCUCCACUGCCUGCUGGCUUUGGUCUACACUGUCUCCGCGUCUCUGAGACUAUUCCCUCAGGGAAUAGGGAAACAAGCGAAGCUGGAUGGAGAGCUGGCAGAGGCCGCCGCUGAUCCAUUGAAGUGACACCAUUUUACUGAAUUCCAUGAUUUGGGCCCCGUUUUAUAUGAGUUCCAGGUUCUCUCUAAAAAAUACAACACCAGUUACACCCAUGACAUUCAACUAUACUUCAAUAAAAUAAAUCGACUAUACUUCAAUAAAAAUUUAAAAAUUAAAAAAAAAUUCUCAAUUAGAAAAAUGAACAGGAGUUCCUGUUGUGGCUCAGUGGUUAAUGAACUCAACUAGUAUUUAUGAGGAAGCAGGUUCGAUACCUGGCCUUGCUCAGAGGGUUCACAAUCUGAGCUGCAUCCGUGGUGCCAUGGCUGCGGUGUAGGCCGGCAACAGCAGCUCCAAUUUGACCCCUAGCCCGGGAACCUCCAUGUGCCACAAGUGCAGCCCUAAAAAAGCAAAAAAAAAAAAAGCAAAAAAAGAGAGAAAAGAAUAAAAACUAUCUACAUUGAGAUCUAUAGCAUGAGGGGCAGUGAGUUAGCCAACUUACCAAGAUAAACUAAUUAUGCAUGCUAAUGACUAUUCACCCAGGAUGUAAAUGUUUCUGCAUACCCAUUAAUAAAAAAGCGUAUCACAAUAUCAAAAAUACAUAUAGAACACCAUAUCCUCCCCGCUUCACAGAUAAUUGAUCCCUCCUUUCAAACAAAAGUCUCCCCUCUUAAAUCCUCCUGCGACCUCCCAGAAUUUGAGAUACAUAGUAAACAUCAGUUAAAAAAUCUUGUCACGGCUUGCAAAUGGCAAACCAUUCUGGGCUUAAGCAGGCUUAAGUCUUAUCAACUUUACCCAGACAUUUUAAUUCACUUAUAAUAGCAGCAGCUGACACUUUUGAACUCUCACAAUAGCAGGCGUUGUUCUAACAGGUUGCACUGUCUAAACAUCCCUUCACUGGAUCCUGAUGAUAACUUGGUGAUUAUCACAUCCCCGUCUUAUUUUAUUUUAUUUAUUUAUUUCAUUUUUGUCUUUUUAGGGCUUUAUCCUCAGCAUAUGGAAGUCCCCAGACUAGAGGUCCAGUCAGAGCUACAGCUGCCGGCCUACAUCACAGCCACAGCCAGGCAGGAUCUGAGCUAUGCCUGCAACCUACACCACAGCUCACGGCAACAUCAGAUCCUUAACCCACUGAGCAAAGCCAGGGAUCGAACCUGUGUCCUCAUGGAUACUAGUCAGAUUUGUCUCCAUUGAGCUGCAACAGGAGCUUCCAUCACAUCCCAUUUUACAGAUGAGUCAACUGAGGCACAUGGAGGCAAAUCCCUUUCCUGAGGCCAUGCUCCUGGGGAGGGAGGGAGCAGGACUCACAUCUAGCGGUUAGCUCCUGAGCCUGUGCCCUUCCUCAGACUUGUAGCACCCAUCCCUCUUCCCUGCUUAUCUUUCCACCCACCUGCUCACUUUCCAGAAGCUUCCCUCGGCUCUGCUUUUUCCCUUCUCCCAAAUGCCAGCCGCUGUUUCCCUGCUCCAGGUUACACGGUACCAUUUAUCUGGCUCAAGAUGGCUACCGUCUUUGCACAACUGUCGUCUUCCUGUAACCCUCCAAACAAAACUGAGGAUAGAGGGGAGGAGAAUAGGCAACCUCCCUAAUAUGCAUUGCGGAGGGGCCGGCGGGGGGCGGGGGGGGGGGGGGUCAGAGGCCUGGGAGGAACCAAGGUCUCUGCCAAUAAAUAGCAGCAGCCCCUGGAGGUGGGUCCCCGCCAUGCCCUUUGCUCAUCUUCACCCGCUAAACCCCAGCGUUUCCCAAGCAGCAGGCCUGUCCUACUGUGAGAAGCAAUAGUCUAGCCCAGCAGACAGUCUCUGACUUCACCUUCUUGGAGUUUUCAUUCCAGCUGUAAAUCUUUCCAAAUGGCUCUUGCUCCAGAAGCAUUUUCAAAGAAAUGAAAAUUGUGAUCGCCAGGGUGAAGAAACAAAGGCCUUUUAUUCAGUAACAGAAAUGAAGAGACCCGAGUCGCUUCCCCCCAGAACCCCCCCCCCCCCACCCCCGACGGCGCCCGCUCCAGCUGUUUGCCUGCACCUGACGUCUAGGCCAAGAAGUCAGGAGCUGGCAGAUGGCUGGAACGGGAGGCCAGGUGGGCGUGAAGUGUGAGAGAGGCCAGUCCGAGCUUCCAAAUUAGGGCUCUCAGAGGAUUUGUCCCGAGGCCUGUGCAUGAGCCCCGUCCCCAGGUGGGGGUGUAGGAGAGGCCUGGUGCCUGAGAACUGUCCCCAGACGAGGCUGACAGGGAGGCCAGGCUGUCAGGACACGCCACCUCCAUUAGCGCAGAGCAAGCAGGCACCUCGGAGCUUUGGAACUGGAAGUGGGUCCUCCCCCCAGACGGCCUCAGCGACCUCUUCCCUGGGAGGCGGGGCCAAGGCCUCUCCAAGGCUUUGUGGGUCCUGAUCCCCAGAGCCUGUGACUGUGCUACGUAACAUGGAGAAAGGGACUUUGCCGAUGAGAAUAAGGAUCUUGAGACAGACGUUAUCCUGGACUAUCCAGGUGAGCCCAGGGUAGUCCACGCAUCCUUGCAAGAAAGGCAGGAGGCGGGACUUCCCAUGGUGGCUCCAUGGUAAAGAACACGACUAGCGUCCAUGAGGAUGCAGGUUCUAUCCCUGGCCCUGCUCAACGGGUUAAGACUCCUACGGAUCCGGCAUUGCCACAAGCUCUGGUGUAGGUCGUGGCUUG